This 372-nucleotide ribosomal RNA is filed under the name uncultured bacterium. RNAcentral's name for it is "bacterial SSU rRNA". It matches the Rfam family "Bacterial small subunit ribosomal RNA", at positions 527 to 896 of the family's 1533-position model. The record is from RNAcentral.
GGAGGGUGCAAGCGUUAAUCAGAAUUACUGGGCGUAAAGAGCGCGUAGGUGGUUUUUUAAGUCAGGUGUGAAAUCCCUAGGCUCAACCUAGGACUGCAUUGAAACUGGAAAACUAGAGUUUCGUAGAGGGAGGUAGAAUUCUAGGUGUAGCGGUGAAAUGCGUAGAUAUCUGGAGGAAUACCCGUGGCGAAAGCGGCCUCCUAAACGAAAACUGACACUGAGGCGCGAAAGCGUGGGAGCGAAACAGGAUUAGGAUUACCCCUGGUACGUCCAUGCCGUAAACGAUGUCGACUUGGAGGUUGUUUCCAAGAGAAGUGACUUCCGAAGCUAACGCAUUAAGUCGACCGCCUGGGGAGUACGGCCGCAAGGCUA